Molecule: ribosomal RNA, 253 nt
Filed under: uncultured bacterium
Lineage: Bacteria
Description: partial 16S ribosomal RNA
Rfam family: Bacterial small subunit ribosomal RNA
Source: RNAcentral
UACGUAGGGUGCAAGCGUUAAUCGGAAUUACUGGGCGUAAAGCGCACGUAGGCGGUUGGUUAAGUUGGAUGUGAAAGCCCCGGGCUCAACCUGGGAAUUGCGAUGGAGACUGCAAGGCUUGAAUCUGGCAGAGGGGGGUAGAAUUCCACGUGUAGCAGUGAAAUGCGUAGAGAUGUGGAGGAACACCAAUGGCGAAGGCAAUCCCCUGGGCCUGUACUGACGCUCAUGCACGAAAGCGUGGGGAGCAAACAGG